GUCCCCAUAGUCUAUCGGUUAGGACGCGGCCCUUUCAAGGCUGAGAGACGAGUUCGAUUCUCGUUGGGGGCA
This 72-nucleotide transfer RNA is filed under the name Berryella intestinalis. RNAcentral describes it as "Coriobacteriaceae bacterium 68-1-3 tRNA". It matches the Rfam family "tRNA". From Rfam's summary of the family: Transfer RNA (tRNA) molecules are approximately 80 nucleotides in length. Their secondary structure includes four short double-helical elements and three loops (D, anti-codon, and T loops). The record is from Rfam by way of RNAcentral. Lineage: Bacteria; Bacillati; Actinomycetota; Coriobacteriia; Eggerthellales; Eggerthellaceae.